GGGGAAUAUUGGGCAAUGGGCGCAAGCCUGACCCAGCGACGCCGCGUGAAGGAAGAAGGCUUUCGGGUUGUAAACUUCUUUUAUGAGGGACGAAAAAAAUGACGGUACCUCAUGAAUAAGCCACGGCUAACUACGUGCCAGCAGCCGCGGUAAUACGUAGGUGGCAAGCGUUAUCCGGAUUUACUGGGUGUAAAGGGCGUGUAGGCGGGACUGUAAGUCAGGCGUGAAAAUUAUGGGCUCAACCCAUAACCUGCGUUUGAAACUAUAGUUCUUGAGUGUCGGAGAGGCAAUCGGAAUUCCGUGUGUAGCGGUGAAAUGCGUAGAUAUACGGAGGAACACCAGUGGCGAAGGCGGAUUGCUGGACGAUAACUGACGCUGAGGCGCGAAAGCGUGGGGAGCAAAC
Molecule: ribosomal RNA, 403 nt
Filed under: uncultured bacterium
Lineage: Bacteria
Description: bacterial SSU rRNA
Rfam family: Bacterial small subunit ribosomal RNA
Source: RNAcentral